This 253-nucleotide ribosomal RNA is filed under the name uncultured bacterium. Its description in RNAcentral is "partial 16S ribosomal RNA". It matches the Rfam family "Bacterial small subunit ribosomal RNA", at positions 524 to 776 of the family's 1533-position model. The record is from RNAcentral.
GACGUAGGGUGCGAGCGUUGUCCGGAUUUAUUGGGCGUAAAGAGCUCGUAGGCGGCUCGUCGCGUCGACCGUGAAAACUUGGGGCUUAACCCUAAGCUUGCGGUUGAUACGGGCGGGCUAGAGUUCGGUAGGGGAGACUGGAAUUCCUGGUGUAGCGGUGAAAUGCGCAGAUAUCGAGAGGAACACCUGCGGCGAAGGCGGGUUGCUGGGCCGACACUGACGCUGAGGCGCGAAAGCGUGGGGAGCAAACAGG